ACCAAGAGAUGAAUACGAGGGAUGAGUCAACACAACUCAUGCACGACUGCAAUAUGAAAUUACUCCUCAAAAUUUCAAUUUAUCAAUGCUGUGGCAGCGAAUGAAAAUCAUAUGAAGAUAUACAGCAGCAAACCGUCGGACAUUCUCUAUCCGUCAACUUCAGGGUUGAAAUUGUCAAUAAAAGAACUACGACCGACUAAAUUUCCAGUGCUAAAAUUUCUCUUUAAAAAGAACAUCGUUAAGUUAUUAGAAUACUCUGAGUAUCAACAAAAUUGUGUUCAAUGCUAAUAUUUUUUUCAACUUUCUCUUUAUCCUAAUGGUGAUCCAUGCAAACAAAAAAUAUAAGUUUGGUCAAAUAAUUGAAAUUCCGAAAUAUUUUACCUUCACGUUCAAAACAGAAACGAUUUAGUAACCUCUUUUCAUUUAAUCGUUUCGGUUAAGCAUUUUUGGAAAAUGUGAAAGUUGCAAAUAAAUGAAAUAAACUAUAUAAUCACAAUAGAUAAAUCGAGUAGAGCAUCGAUAUGCCUCCAAUAAUAGAUUAUGUCGUAACUAGUUGAUCAAAAAAUUUUCAUUAAUAUCCUCAUAAUUUUAACUCUGAUGUAUCCGAAUUGUAUCUAUGCCAUCAUAGUUAUUUGUACUUUUUAACUAUGCAGUAAAUUCAGUUCUCUUGAU
This is a long non-coding RNA of Hyalella azteca, 672 nucleotides long. RefSeq lists it as uncharacterized. The record is from RefSeq and is a predicted model, not a curated record. Lineage: Eukaryota; Metazoa; Arthropoda; Malacostraca; Amphipoda; Hyalellidae. The transcript has 2 exons.